UUUCUUUAAAAUUUAAUUUCAUUUCAUCAACAGAUCAGAAUUACAAAGUUUCCAGUAGCCGCUGACUAGCUACUGUUACAAUCAGUCUAGAAGGAGAAACUCCCUUAUGAUGUAUAUACAUUAAAACAUGAGAAGCGUAUAAAGUUUCCUUUCAGAUUUCUAUGGAAAGUGAUUCAGUCUUCGAAACACUUCCUUCCAGUGUUUGACAGAGGUUCCCUGAAUGUGCUCAUGAAUCGCUAUCUCUUUACAUGUAUCCCUAACAAC
RNAcentral lists this long non-coding RNA (264 nucleotides) under Nicotiana benthamiana. Its description in RNAcentral is "long non-coding RNA (NBEN_LNC031512)". The record is from RNAcentral. Lineage: Eukaryota; Viridiplantae; Streptophyta; Magnoliopsida; Solanales; Solanaceae.